Long non-coding RNA from Hibiscus syriacus, 628 nucleotides. RefSeq lists it as uncharacterized. Lineage: Eukaryota; Viridiplantae; Streptophyta; Magnoliopsida; Malvales; Malvaceae. The transcript is spliced from 3 exons. The record is from RefSeq and is a predicted model, not a curated record.
CAUGACGGUGAUGGGUCUAGCUUUUGGUUCAAGGGAAUUCAAUCUUUUAUGGAUUCUCUACCAUUCAUGAUCAUCACAUAGAUAUAAAAAUACAUAUACUUUUGUUUAAGAUUUGAUGUCUUUUUCAUCCUGGGUCUCACUCAGAAUUCAGGUUUCUUUGCUCAUCGUUUUCUGAUUUCUGCAGAUUUCAAAGCAAGAUUCUUCUAGAUUAAGAGAGACGUAUCUGGUGUCUUCUCAACUCUAAAUACCUUCAAUUUCCAAGGUUAUAGUGAUACCAGGAGUUCUUAUGUUCUGAAUCGGUUGUUGAAUUUCAAUGAGUUCGGUUAUGAGAAGGCUGCAAGUUUCUGAAUUUCAAAUGGACUUGUCCUCUAACAGUAAGCUUCCAAGGUCAAUUGACUGCCAGCCGAGUUCUCGAACAAGGAAAUUUAUUGCACUUGUCACUAUGGUUCUGUUCUCAGAGCUGUCUUGCUCUAUUCAUUCUCUGUUCCUUUUUUUUUUGUCACUAACAACUCUAACAAAGAAAGAGUUUUGUUUAUGACAUGUUAACAUGAACACUGGCAUUGGUAAUAGAAUCACAAACAGGGCAGUUGCCUACCAGAGUGGACCCACAAGCUGUACAGAGACAAAG